RNAcentral lists this ribosomal RNA (398 nucleotides) under uncultured bacterium. RNAcentral's name for it is "partial 16S ribosomal RNA". It matches the Rfam family "Bacterial small subunit ribosomal RNA", at positions 523 to 918 of the family's 1533-position model. The record is from RNAcentral.
AUACGUAGGGUGCGAGCGUUGUCCGGAAUUACUGGGCGUAAAGAGCUCGUAGGUGGUUUGUCGCGUCGUCUGUGAAAUUCCGGGGCUUAACUCCGGGCGGGCAGGCGAUACGGGCAUAACUUGAGUACUGUAGGGGAGACUGGAAUUCCUGGUGUAGCGGGGAAAUGCGCAGAUAUCAGGAGGAACACCGGUGGCGGAGGCGGGUCUCUGGGCAGUAACUGACGCUGAGGAGCGAAAGCAUGGGUAGCGAACAGGAUUAGAUACCCUGGUAGUCCAUGCCGUAAACGGUGGGCGCUAGGUGUAGGGGUCUUCCACGACUUCUGUGCCGUAGCUAACGCAUUAAGCGCCCCGCCUGGGGAGUACGGCCGCAAGGCUAAAACUCAAAUGAAUUGACGGGG